Molecule: long non-coding RNA, 822 nt
Organism: Homo sapiens (human)
Lineage: Eukaryota; Metazoa; Chordata; Mammalia; Primates; Hominidae
Source: Ensembl
CACAUUCCUCAGAGAUGGCUCAGCCUGGCCUCCUUCCUCCUCCUACUCGCUUCUCUCAAGGUAGAGAACUUGCUAGAGGCGGCCUGAGAGGGGCAGGCCUUUGCCAUCACAUCCUCUCCCAGACCCCUGCCAUUCGGAGACUGAGGCCGAGUCUCUCCUGGAAGCCGGGCUGCCCAGGAGGGGCGGUGCCGCAGGAGCGCCCCCGCUCGCGACUCCACAAGCCCAGCUGAGCACGGCCGGGAAUACGGGGCCUGCGGAAACAGUGAACUCAGUGGCUGCUGUUUUCUGAGCACCUGAACCCUGUGGGGGACGACAGAGUUGCCCGAGGCGGCAGGAUGUCCCCACACUCGCGGUCCCCCGCACAUCUUCCUGUUGCUUUGGGACUCGGGCUUUCUCUGGGUUGAAAGUGGCUGAGAAGGAAGAAUUUGGACAUCUUAAGAGGAGAGCGAGUGGGGAAGGAGGCAAAAGGGAAUGGAGAAGGAAGAUAAAACUGACGUCAGCCCAGGGCAGGGAGCGAGGAAAGGGGGCCACAAGGAAAGCCCAGUUCCAACGUCUCUGCUGAGCCUAAAGAGGCCUCAGCAGGGAAUCACAGAUGUGGGGGGCCAGGGAAACGGGAUCCGAGCCCGCCCAGUAGGUAUAGAAGGCCGAAGGCAGAGUCCUGAGACCCAGGGAGGGGUGGGGUGGAGGCUGGGGCCCUCCCAGCGAUUCCUGGAAGCCCAGAGCUGGGCGGUGCCGGCUCAGCUGACUUCCCCGAAGCUCCCCUCCCUCUGCUCAGGGCUGUUGCUGGGCAGGUUUGGCGUUUGCCCUGAGCCUGAGAACCAA